Gymnodraco acuticeps is the source of this 224-nucleotide long non-coding RNA. RefSeq lists it as uncharacterized. The transcript is spliced from 3 exons. NCBI's taxonomy places the organism in Eukaryota, Metazoa, Chordata, Actinopteri, Perciformes, Bathydraconidae. The record is from RefSeq and is a predicted model, not a curated record.
UUUCUAGCAUGUUCUCCGUCUAACGGAAGCAGCCAUCAGUCCCGCGUCUUGCAGCAAGUGUGAUCGCUUGGCCACGCCCUCGACAGACUGCAGUCAGUGAGUGACGUGUCACCUAAUCAGCCAUCAGUCCCCGCGGGUUUCGACCGUGUGGUCUCGACAGACCGCGUGACUCACGUGUUCUUCUGCUCCGUGCGGAAGCAGCCAUCUUGUGUGGCCUCGACAAC